This 441-nucleotide ribosomal RNA is filed under the name uncultured bacterium. RNAcentral describes it as "partial 16S ribosomal RNA". It matches the Rfam family "Bacterial small subunit ribosomal RNA", at positions 339 to 795 of the family's 1533-position model. The record is from RNAcentral.
CUACGGGUCGCAGCAGUGAGGAAUCUUCCGCAAUAGGCGAAAGCCUGACGGAGCGACACCGCGUGGAGGAUGAAGGCGUUUUCGUUGUAAACUCCUUUUCUGAGGGAAUAAAUGAUGAAGUUACCUCAGGAAUAAGCACCGGCUAACUACGUGCCAGCAGCCGCGGUAAUACGUAGGGUGCAAGCGUUAUCCGGAAUCAUUGGGCGUAAAGCGUUCGUAGGCGGUUAAGCAAGUUUGCGGUUAAAUCCGGUCGCUCAACGAUCGAAUCGUCGCAAAAACUACUUGACUAGAGUAAGGCAGAGGCAACUGGAAAUCCGCAUGUAGGGGUAAAAUCCGUUGAUAUGCGGAGGAACACCAAAAGCGAAGGCAGGUUGCUGGGCCUUUUCUGACGCUGAGGAACGAAAGCGUGGGGAGCAAACAGGAUUAGAUACCCUUGUAGUC